Molecule: long non-coding RNA, 1230 nt
Filed under: Equus caballus (horse)
Lineage: Eukaryota; Metazoa; Chordata; Mammalia; Perissodactyla; Equidae
Description: lncRNA (ENSECAG00000047495.1)
Source: RNAcentral
CGUGGAGGCUGGUUACCUAAUGCCUUGGCUGUUAAGUGCUCCGGUCUACCAAAACACUUGGCUCCCUAUCUUUUGGUCCUUUCCCAAGUUUCCCCAAAACAAGGUUUUGAAAACUCUGGACAUUUCCAUGCUUGAGGACAGCAUCUGCUUCUCCCCCGGUCUAGGAAAACAAAGGAUGAGUUUGUUGAACAAGUAACUCCUGAGUCUCCAUUUCAUGUUGAUAGGCAGAUCCUGGGAUGCAGCAGCCAGAAUUUACCAUCCAGCUCUGCCUUUGUGAUCCUUGAGUAAGGUAUUUAUUUUAUUUCUCAGGGUCUGAGCUUCCUAGUUUGUAAAAUGGGACUGAUAAUAACUGCUCCAUUCACUUCUGUGGGGUGGGGAGAGGCUAGGUUAAGACUAUGCAUGGAAACGUGCUGAGUCCCAACUCAGAGGCAAACUCAUUUCUUUCCCUGCUUCCUCCUCUUGAAGGCCACUGAAGGGAGGAAUCUCAGGGAAGGAAAGCCCUUCCAGAGCUCUGUCUCUGUCACCUGUCUGGGGAGACCCCUCCAGUGCAUUUUCAGUUCUGCCUUGUUCAGCCCAUAGCCUUGACUGUCAGCACCAGACCUCAGCCAGGCAGCCAGUAAUGCAGGUGUCAUUUGUCUGCAGAAGGUGAAAGAUUGGUCCAUGGGGUGGAAAACAGAGAGGUACUGGGCCAUGUGACCCUGACUAUUGGGGGCUGGGCAGCUCUUAGAAAGGAGCAGGCAGGGGGUGGGAUUUCUUGGAGGAGAGGGUCUCAGAGCUGAGUUCUCAAGGACAGAUAUGAGGUAGGUGAAGGGAUGAUGGAAGAGCAGACUAGGCAUGAAGGUAGGAUCUAAACACCAGUCCUGUCAUCCUGUAGCCUCUUCCUCUUUUAGUAUCUGUGGCCGUUAUAAUUAUCCCCUUUUCUGAUGACAGAAAAACUUUCUAUCACCUUCUGGAUUACUCUCCUCUAAAAUGUAUAACUAAUGGAUUUUUGGAAUUCAUGAUUCCUUUCCACUUUUAACAAAGCCCAGAUUCAACACUCAGCGAAGUUUGACCUCUCAAACCCUCCGUACCUUCCUCUCUUCUCCCUUUUUUUAUUGUGAAAAAUGGCACAUAGAGAAAAGUGCAUAAAACAAUAACACAUAUAAAUGACAUCAGUAUAUUAUAGAGCAAACACCCAGGUAACCACAACACAGGUCAAGAAAGGACAUUGCCAGCACCUCAGAAGCCCCA